GGGGUUGUGGCUCAAUGAUAGAGCACUUGCUUUGUGUGUGUGAGGCACUGGGUUCGAUUCUCAGCACCA
This 69-nucleotide transfer RNA is filed under the name Ictidomys tridecemlineatus (thirteen-lined ground squirrel). RNAcentral's name for it is "Spermophilus tridecemlineatus (thirteen-lined ground squirrel) tRNA". It matches the Rfam family "tRNA". From Rfam's summary of the family: Transfer RNA (tRNA) molecules are approximately 80 nucleotides in length. Their secondary structure includes four short double-helical elements and three loops (D, anti-codon, and T loops). Lineage: Eukaryota; Metazoa; Chordata; Mammalia; Rodentia; Sciuridae. The record is from Rfam by way of RNAcentral.